CAACAGCCCAAGUUGGACGGGGCUUGGAGCAACCUGGGCUAGUGGAAGGUGUCCCUGCCCGUGGCAGGGGGAAUGGAACGAGAUGAGCUCUAAGGCCUCUUCCAAUCCAUGCCAUUCCAUGAU
Long non-coding RNA from Corapipo altera (White-ruffed manakin), 123 nucleotides. RefSeq lists it as uncharacterized. Lineage: Eukaryota; Metazoa; Chordata; Aves; Passeriformes; Pipridae. The record is from RefSeq and is a predicted model, not a curated record. The transcript has 3 exons.